AUCGUGACCUGGCUGAAGUCGGACGCUUAACCGACUGCGCCACCCAGGCGCCCCAGAGCCUUCUGGAGUUAAAAAUAAAAACUGCCCACCAGCAUCCCGGAAGAGCUGCAGCUGGUGUUGGGGGAAUAGUCUUUUGAAAGUCGGGGACGAGGACUGCCCAGGUAGAUUGUUAACUUUGUCUCCAGAGGGCAGCCACACCACUGGUUAAUGGUUAAACUAAAUGGAGUAAGAGAAGAAAAAUGUGGAGAACGUUGGAGGAGGGGAAUCUUCUUUCCUAUGACUUUCUGGUCUUUCUUCAUCAUCACUCACUCCUCCCAGAACUUGUCAGACUUAUUGCCACUGCCUGCAUGAUCAGUGCUGGCCAGCCAGCAGGCUCCUCCACCGUCUCCCUCCUCCUGGCUCCUGGAGAUCUGCCUGCCUGCUGCACACAUGUGUUCCACCCUGUUUUUGCAUUCUAAACAAUGAAGCAAUGAACAUUGACCUGUAUAGCUGCUUCUUUGGACACAUGUGCAAAUGUUUUUUCUGAUAAAUUCUUAGAGGACAACUUGCUGAGUUAAAGAUACAUGCAGGUGCGAGGGACAUUCCUGGGGAAGAGCCUUUCUUGGCCAUUUACCACAGUGUUUCCUUACUUAAACACCAAAUGGACUUACUAAACUGUACUAGGGCAGAUGGCACAGCAAGACUUAGUCUGUUCCAGUCCAAAGAGAUAAUUUAUGUAAAUUACAUGACCAUAGACAUUAUAUGAUAUCCUCUAACAUCCCUUUGACAUACCAUGGCAAUCUUCCUCCACCACAUAGCAGUAUGGGAAGUGCCCUUCUAAGUCCUUUCCCAUACAUUUACUUCCUGUCUUAAGGAUCUUUGCAUGCCUGCUACUUUGUAAUACCUCUGCUAAUGAAUAGAGGAAGCUGCCUUCAGUACUCCAAAUGAGGAAAGAAAUGCCGUUACUGGAUUCCAUUCCUGUCUAUCAUCUUGUUCAAAAGGAGGGGAGUGAGUCAGAUCAAGAGAAUGAGUCACCAAGUCAUAGCCAAGGUGAUAAACCUCAAGACUUGCAUCUAUCUGCUCCAUGGUCAAAGAAGAAAACCUUACCAUCUGAGUGGUGAGAAACCAGAGUGUGUACUAUCUGAACAUGUAAUGUUAUUUUGAGGAAAAAAUAAAGUGACUUUCCUAAAAAACUUUUCUGGUGUCUGUCUUCUGAAAUUCAGAACUUUUUUACUCACUGACUUAUAUUUAAAAAACUAUUAAUUACUGAGGUUUUGGCAGGAGGACGACUAUAUUAAUUCAAAAUUCCCUGAGAUAUUGUAUCUUAAAUUUUAAUAGAUAUAUUGCCAAACUACCCUCCAACAAGCCUGUAUCAAUUUGUACUCCCACUAAUAUUGAAUGUGUCUAACAUACUAUCAAUCUUUUAAAUUAUCAUCUGGUGGGUGAAAAAUGGUAUCUUACUAGUGUAAUAUGCAUUUCUCUGAUGACCAAUGACAUUCAGCAUAAUUUUACAUAAUUUUUGACCAUCCAUGUAUCCUCUUCUCUGAAUUAUCUGUUCCUAUCCACUGCUUCUUUUCUUUUUUUUUAAAUUUUUUUAAUGUUUAUUUUUUUGAGAGAGAGAGACAG
Molecule: long non-coding RNA, 1605 nt
Organism: Felis catus (domestic cat)
Lineage: Eukaryota; Metazoa; Chordata; Mammalia; Carnivora; Felidae
Exons: 3
Source: RefSeq, a predicted model, not a curated record